Molecule: ribosomal RNA, 878 nt
Filed under: uncultured Bacteroidota bacterium
Lineage: Bacteria; Pseudomonadati; Bacteroidota
Description: bacterial SSU rRNA
Rfam family: Bacterial small subunit ribosomal RNA
Source: RNAcentral
AACGCUAGCGGCAGGCCUAAUACAUGCAAGUCGAACGGUAACAUUGGUGCUUGCACCAGAUGACGAGUGGCGCACGGGUGCGUAACGCGUAUGCAAUCUACCUUUUACUAGAGUAUAGCCCAGAGAAAUUUGGAUUAAUCCUCUAUAAUAUCUUUUAAUUUCAUGAUUUUAAGAUUAAAGUUUUAACGGUAAAAGAUGAGCAUGCGUCCUAUUAGUUUGUAGGUGAGGUAACGGCUCACCUAGACUACGAUAGGUAGGGGCCCUGAGAGGGGGAUCCCCCACACUGGUACUGAGACACGGACCAGACUCCUACGGGAGGCAGCAGUAAGGAAUAUUGGACAAUGGACGAAAGUCUGAUCCAGCCAUGCCGCGUGCAGGAUGAAAGCCCUACGGGUUGUAAACUGCUUUUAUACAGGAAGAAACACUCCGACGUGUCGGAGCUUGACGGUACUGUAAGAAUAAGGAUCGGCUAACUCCGUGCCAGCAGCCGCGGUAAUACGGAGGAUCCAAGCGUUAUCCGGAAUCAUUGGGUUUAAAGGGUCCGCAGGCUGUUUUUUAAGUCAGAGGUGAAAUCCUACAGCUCAACUGUAGAACUGCCUUUGGUACUGAAAAACUUGAGUUAUUGUGAAGUGGUUAGAAUGUGUGGUGUAGCGGUGAAAUGCAUAGAUAUCACACAGAAUACCGAUUGCGAAGGCAGAUCACUAACAAUAUACUGACGCUCAUGGACGAAAGCGUGGGGAGCGAACAGGAUUAGAUACCCUGGUAGUCCACGCCGUAAACGAUGGAUACUAGCUGUUCGUCUAACAUUGGUUAGAUGAGUGGCUAAGCGAAAGUGAUAAGUAUCCCACCUGGGGAGUACGGUCGCAAGACUGAAACUC